Gigantopelta aegis is the source of this 649-nucleotide long non-coding RNA. RefSeq lists it as uncharacterized. The record is from RefSeq and is a predicted model, not a curated record. Lineage: Eukaryota; Metazoa; Mollusca; Gastropoda; Neomphalida; Peltospiridae. The transcript is spliced from 3 exons.
GCGAAGUCUGCCAUAAUUCUACCAGUUUGUUUUCUCUUUGGAUUUUAUAAUACUGGUUCCACGUGCACAGUUUAAAUUAAAAACCAUUAAAGUCGACCACGGAGUGCCAUUUGGAAGAUGUGAACGGCAGUUGAGCGCCGUGUGAACGUGCAUUACGGGGAUGAGGCGGUAAUGGCCGGACGGGAACCAUUAGUAGGCGGUGGCGGGAAGUCACGAUGACCAGACUUCAAAACAUACCACGGAAAUCAUCUUAUGUAAUGCAUGUUAGUGGUUUUUGAGAAAAGUUCAGAUGCCCUCUUUGGAUGAUGUACUAGCUCUCUAGAAAAGUCCUCGGCAGUUGCUAUGGCGAAUAGGUGGCCUCUUUAGACAAUCGGCUGUUUAAAACAGUUUCAGAGUUGUACACAAUGUACUGUAGACACACAUAACCUCAACCCAGAUAUCACACACCUUUGAUAAAACACGGGAAAUGUUCACGAGGUGCUGACGUAUACUUUGGAAGGGUUGUAAAGCGCGCGCCUCAUGUGUGGCCGGUGUAAGAUCGAUCCCCGUCGGUGAGCCCAUUGUGCUACUUCUCGUUCCAUCCAUUGCACCACGACUGUUAUAUCAAAGACUGUGGUAUGUGCUGUUCUAUUCUGAUGCAUAUAAUAGA